UGGUGUGGAGCGAGGCAGGGUCCUCGUGGGCAGUGCAAAGAUUGAGCUGGGGGUGGGCAGAGUGGACAGAAUAGGGCAGGGUGCGGAUCCAUAGCCCUACGCAUCCUGGGCCAGGUCUGUGCUGCUUCACGCUGUCGACCUGUGAGUGGUGCCCCGUAUCUGGCAGCCCAGAUCCCUCCCUUUUCCCUACUCCUUUUGACCCUGCACCCAGAGUGGUGGUUGUGAUCUGCUACCGUGACCUCAGCCCUCAUUCCAAACUGUGGCACCAUUCGUUCCACAAACUCCACACCUCUGGCCCAUUAGAGGAAGGAGGUCCCAGAAUAGCUGGGAAAUUACGAAAACAGCCUCACUGCACGGGUUGGUGAAUGCUGUGAUGCGAUUGUAUGAUGGACGGUGAUGUUGAAACCAGUCAGGAAUGACCACCCCAUCCGGAGAGAAAAGCACCAAGGAUUCUCUUUUGUUGAAUUUGUGUUGGCAGAGGAUGUUGCAGAAGCUGUCAACAACAUGUUUGGUCAGAUGAAGACUGGGUGGAGAAGUUUGCUGGGAAGUGGAUAAAGAGGAAGAUGGUUGAGACCUCCCAAAGCAGAAAGCCAGGAGGGAGAAUGAAAGUUCAUGCUUCCAGAGGAGAGGCUGCUGUUUGCCACAUAGGGAAUUUCUGAGAGAAUUUCCACUACCCGCGCACCCAUUUAAAGGACUCAGCUUCAAGAGAAGCAGCUUCCACCGCAUUAUCCCCCAGUUUAUGUGCCAGGGCAGUGAUUUCACAAACCACAGCAGCACCAGGGGCAAGUCCAUCUACAAGAAGAAGUUUGAUGAUGAAAACUUUAUCUUCAAACACACAGGACCA
Molecule: long non-coding RNA, 844 nt
Organism: Piliocolobus tephrosceles (Ugandan red Colobus)
Lineage: Eukaryota; Metazoa; Chordata; Mammalia; Primates; Cercopithecidae
Exons: 5
Source: RefSeq, a predicted model, not a curated record